GUCCUGAGUAAGGAUGCAGGGGAAUGUGCAAUCUGCCUAGAGGAGCUGGUACAGGGGGACACAAUUGCUCGCCUGCCUUGUCUCUGCAUAUACCACAAAGGCUGUAUUGAUGAGUGGUUUGAGGUGAACAGAUCGUGUCCAGAACAUCCCUCAGACUAAAGGGCAUCGCUACUUUUCUCCACAGGUUUCUUACUCCCUCAAUAAGAAGAGUGAUCUGCUCCAAUAACAACAGUCCUCAAUGUGAAUCCCCUCCCCUUCCCCGUCGACCAAGGAGACUGCUGGACAGACACACUGUGACUCUGUGGCCAGUACAGAACUGACCCCUGACCCUACCCCCACCACCUCCAGUACGUCUCAACAGCCCUCAACACACCUCAACUCAAACCAGUCAAGUACCGCAGUGUGCCAAAACUCAUUAAAAGCAAUUUUCAGGGAAACUACAUUUAAUGCUGAUCUAUCUAUUUAUCUUCACACACAAACACAAUCUGCUCCAAGACAAGACCAGACAGACACAGACACACAAACUCACAAAUACACACUCACA
Long non-coding RNA from Salvelinus sp. IW2-2015, 544 nucleotides. RefSeq lists it as uncharacterized. NCBI's taxonomy places the organism in Eukaryota, Metazoa, Chordata, Actinopteri, Salmoniformes, Salmonidae. The record is from RefSeq and is a predicted model, not a curated record.